UCCCUGGUUGAUCCUGCCAGUAGUUAUAU
Molecule: non-coding RNA, 29 nt
Filed under: Bombyx mori (domestic silkworm)
Lineage: Eukaryota; Metazoa; Arthropoda; Insecta; Lepidoptera; Bombycidae
Also listed under: 1 other name
Source: RNAcentral